This 518-nucleotide long non-coding RNA is filed under the name Linum usitatissimum (flax). RNAcentral's name for it is "long non-coding RNA (LUSI_LNC001772)". Lineage: Eukaryota; Viridiplantae; Streptophyta; Magnoliopsida; Malpighiales; Linaceae. The record is from RNAcentral.
ACGAUCAUUACGAGGGCUUGGAGGAGCCUGAUUUGGAUCUCGAUCCGGAUUUGGUUUUUAGGGCGAGGAAGUUUGGUAAAGUAUCUGGUGGAUUUAACGAGCGUGUUGUUGAUUAUGGGAACAAAUAUGAUCAGAAUUCAGUGUCUGUAGCGUUUAUGCCCAAGGAUUAUGGAAGAUUCGAUAGGAAAUUGGGGCUAAAAACAGUAACCUAGGGUUUGAUAAUAGUGACUAUGGAAGUGGUGGAUUCUCUAGGAAGAUGGGGCAAUUGCAGAGAGAUGAUAUGAUGAACGGUGUUAAUGAAGAAAGAGACCGGUUUGGGAAGAAAGUGGUCGAGGAAUGGGGGUAUGGCUCAUCGAGGAUUCGAGUGAAGAACCACAUCCAAGCUGAUCGAAAUGGGUUUGGGAGUGGUAACACGAAUGGUGUUGAUGGUGGAGGAGUUAGUAGCAAGGGUAAAGAUCCAGUUGCAGAAGUUGUGUCGGCGAUUAAGAUGCUGAGGGAAGGGUUUGUGAUGGUGGAAG